RNAcentral lists this ribosomal RNA (251 nucleotides) under uncultured bacterium. Its description in RNAcentral is "partial 16S ribosomal RNA". It matches the Rfam family "Bacterial small subunit ribosomal RNA", at positions 796 to 1041 of the family's 1533-position model. The record is from RNAcentral.
CAUGCCGUAAACGAUGAGUGCUAAGUGUUAGGGGGUUUCCGCCCCUUAGUGCUGCAGCUAACGCAUUAAGCACUCCGCCUGGGGAGUACGACCGCAAGGUUGAAACUCAAAGGAAUUGACGGGGGCCCGCACAAGCGGUGGAGCAUGUGGUUUAAUUCGAAGCAACGCGCAGAACCUUACCAACGUUUGACAUCCUUAUCGCGAUUAGCAGAGAUGCUUUUCUUCAGUUCGGCUGGAUAAGUGACAGGUGC